UGGGGAAUAUUGCACAAUGGGCGCAAGCCUGAUGCAGCAACGCCGCGUGAACGAUGAAGGUCUUCGGAUCGUAAAGUUCUGUUGCAGGGGAAGAUAAUGACGGUACCCUGUGAGGAAGCCCCGGCUAACUACGUGCCAGCAGCCGCGGUAAUACGUAGGGGGCUAGCGUUGUCCGGAAUCACUGGGCGUAAAGGGUUCGCAGGCGGAAUAACAAGGCAGAUGUGAAAGGCAUGGGCUCAACCCAUGUAAGCAUUUGAAACUGUAAUUCUUGAGAAGUGGGGAGGUAAGUGGAAUUCCUAGUGUAGCGGUGAAAUGCGUAGAUAUUAGGAGGAAUAACUGUGGCGAAGGCGACUUACUGGCCGGAAAUCUGCCGCUGAGGAACGAAAGAGUGGGUAGCAAACAGG
Molecule: ribosomal RNA, 404 nt
Filed under: Verrucomicrobiota bacterium
Lineage: Bacteria; Pseudomonadati; Verrucomicrobiota
Description: Verrucomicrobia bacterium partial 16S ribosomal RNA
Rfam family: Bacterial small subunit ribosomal RNA
Source: RNAcentral